Molecule: long non-coding RNA, 1644 nt
Organism: Mus musculus (house mouse)
Lineage: Eukaryota; Metazoa; Chordata; Mammalia; Rodentia; Muridae
Product: predicted gene 9916
Exons: 1
Source: RefSeq, marked validated
AGCAGCAUCUUUGAGCGCUGAGCUAGAGCAGGGAGAGGGUCGCCUGGGGCAUGCCUCAGCCAAAAGGGCGUGUCCGUGUGCGAAGGUGCCCCCCGGCAAGCUUGUCCAAGCUCGUGACUUCGCAAAUCUCUGGCCUGGGGCGGAGCUGGAGCCCCACCCGCGACCCGCCGAGCUGCUCAGCAAGCAGACAUGGAAACCUUGCUAAGGAAGGGGCGGGGAACAGGGGGCUGGGUCCCGGUGGAACUUUCUGAUUACAAGUGUUGUGGGUCUCUGAGGAACCCCUAUUUUCUUUUUGGAUUCUCCGCGAAGAUGUGGAGAAGCAGGCUGGUAAUGAGAUUGGUUGCACUGUGGCACAGAGCUGGAACCUUUCUGAAAGAGGCUGGGGCAGGCAGUGACUGUUCAGAUGUCCAGUUUCUUUGGGACACUUCUCCAGCGCUGCCUUCCCUACCUCUGCCUUUGGAAUGAGUCUCAAACAUCAACAAAAAUCAAGAUAUGUUCUCAGUCUCGGGUCUGCAGCAGAGUGAUGAGAGGAAGAGAAAAUCCUCCACUCUUCUUGUCUGUUUAUAAUGUUAAUGGACCAUAAAGCAAUGUGGAUGGGUCCCCUCCUAGCGAGGAGCAAGCAAUCGCUGGCUCGAUCCCUUCCAUCACGCCGGGGCAUUCCCGGGGCAAGCGGACUUAGCAGGAGUUUAAGGUGUUCCUUGGAGCCGGAAAAUAUGGUCCAUCGUGGUGGAAGGCAAGGGCAGAGGCUCGAGAACUCAACCCUAGCUGUGAGCGGACCUCUUGGCUGUGCAGUUUGCUUUUCUUACUCUUUGGAGGCUGCGGGUUCCUUGGGUGCUUCCAAGGUGGGAGGAGAAAGCCUGGGAAGAGAGUGAUUCAGGUUCCCAGAAGGUUACCAAGGCGGAUAGACUUUAAGACCAGUUUUCCUCCCUUGCGCGUUGCCGGUUGAUUUUGCUUGAGGGAAUGGCUGCGAAGAAGACUGAAUUCCAGAGAAGUCGAAGCUGCUGGAGAAAUGAAAGCAUCUCUUUCUUAUGGGGUUCCCGGGACCCAUUCUAAGCUCAGCAGCGCCCAGACACUUUCUUCCUCUGGAGUAUUUGUCAUUCACCUUUCAGGACUUGAGGUCUCUCUACUGGGUCCUUGCCUUGAAGAGCAAGCUGAACCCCCUGAGAAACUGCAAGAACCCUGGAAAAACAGCCUUUCCCAUUUUAGGUCUUUCCCUUUCUUCCAGCGCUAGAUCUAUAAUGAUAGAUCCCCAUGCCAGACCUCUCUUUUCCUCUCCCUGUCCUUAUGUGUCUGCCCCCUGAAUGAGUCCCAAGCAAUCUAGACUGAUAGCACUUGUAUUGUAGCUAUGUUGAUAAGAGGGGAAACGGGUGUGGUCCUGUUCAGACUCCUGGGAAUGAGCCCAUUUAUCACAAUGGGGUGAAGAAGCAAAAAGAAGCUGUCUUUGCAGGCAACAUUCUGUCACUACUAAGAAAACUAACUAUGUAACUAACAUUCUUUCCUUCAUUGUUCCAAGAACUGCCUUUCUUAGGGAUCCAUCAGUUGGUGAUUAAGGGCUUUUAAAUAUUGUGCUCGUUAAGUAUCUAACCACAUUCAGUGUGUCUAUGGGUGCUGUUGUUUCCCUGGAAAUUAAAAAAGUAGAGAGAA